CCAGGUCUACUGUUGGCUCAGGACAGGACAAGGGGAUCCUUUGAUUGUCUUCUCUCACUGGCCGGAGGCUGCUAAAGUUAACUGAGAGAAGAGAAGUCCUAAGCUUGUGGAGAAGACCAGAAACAGACUUCUGAGGCUGCCUUCAAAGCCGCAUCUUGCCCACCCCACCUACUUCCACAUAUGAGCCCCCUCUAGAAGCAUCUACCUUCUAUCAUGCCUGGAAGACAUUUAACCAUCUGUUGCCAUUUGGUGUUCUGGGGCUUUUCACUUGGUACAACUUUGGUGUCUCUAACUAGACAGUGGGUUCUUCCCAGUCCUGUCCUUUCUCUGCUGCUUCCAGGGGGAGACUGGAAGCAUUCCGUGAGUGCAAGAAUGACCGUGUGGUGAUGUCUCCAAGCCAAGCCCUGCAGCCCAGGGAGGCUAAACUGCUGUGUGGAUUCUAGAUGGAUUGUUCUCAUCCCUGGCUUUGAACUUCUUCUGGAAGAGAGUCUGCCUAGGCCCCCUGCAGCUCCCCAUCCUUAGGACCUAGACGAAUGAAUACAGCAUCACCCCCUCCUCCAAGUCAGAUUAGCCAUAGGUAUCUAGAAAUUCCAUUCUGAGCACCUACUGUGUGCUCAUGCCUGUCAAGAGAGGUUGCAGAGGGUGAAGAGGGGCCAGAUUACUGGGCUCCUGCCUUCCACCAGUUCCCAAUCUAGAUGGAGAGAGAAGACUCAUAGGCAGGAGAGCCAAAGCAGGUCUCAGGGCGUGUGGCCACGGCCAGGGCUGCAGAAUGUGGUUCAGUGGGUGCCAGAGAGAGGAGAGUGAUGGUGGCUCCACUGAAGGGAAGCUGAACACAAAGAAGGUUUCCUCCUCCCUUGAGGGGGAGGAGCAAAGG
Molecule: long non-coding RNA, 874 nt
Filed under: Felis catus (domestic cat)
Lineage: Eukaryota; Metazoa; Chordata; Mammalia; Carnivora; Felidae
Description: lncRNA (ENSFCAG00000048631.1)
Source: RNAcentral